Molecule: ribosomal RNA, 380 nt
Filed under: uncultured bacterium
Lineage: Bacteria
Description: bacterial SSU rRNA
Rfam family: Bacterial small subunit ribosomal RNA
Source: RNAcentral
AUUGAACGCUGGCGGCGUGCCUAACACAUGCAAGUCGAGCGGUAACAGGUGUAGCAAUACAUGCUGACGAGCGGCGGACGGGUGAGUAACGCUUGGGAAUCUGCCUGUUAGUGGGGGACAACCCGGGGAAACUCGGGCUAAUACCGCAUACGCACUACGGUGGAAAGCCGGGGACCGGCAAGGCCUGGCGCUAACAGAUGAGCCCAAGUCGGAUUAGCUAGUUGGUAGGGAACGGCCUACCAAGGCGACGAUCCGUAACUGGUCUGAGAGGACGACCAGUCACACCGGAACUGAGACACGGUCCGGACUCCGUACGGGAGGCAGCAGUGGGGAAUAUUGGACAAUGGGCGAAAGCCUGACGCAGCGACGCCGCGUGAGGG